UGGGGAAUAUUGCACAAUGGACGGAAGUCUGAUGCAGCAACGCCGCGUGCGGGAUGACGGCCUUCGGGUUGUAAACCGCUUUUUCUCAUGACAAAGUAUUUUGACGGUAGUGGGGGAAGAAGCACCGGCUAACUACGUGCCAGCAGCCGCGGUGAUACGUAGGGUGCGAGCGUUGUCCGGAAUUAUUGGGCGUAAAGAGCUUGUAGGCGGUUUGUCGCGUCGAUAGUGCAAACUCAGUGCUUAACGCUGAGCCUGCUGUUGAUACGGGCAGAAGAGAGGAAGGUAGGGGAGAAUGGAAUUCCCGGUGGAGCGGUGGAAUGCGCAGAUAUCGGGGGGAACACCGGUGGCGAAGGCGGUUCUCUGGGCCUUUCCUGACGCUGAGAAGCGAAAGCGUGGGGAGCGAACAGG
Molecule: ribosomal RNA, 408 nt
Filed under: Fusobacteriota bacterium
Lineage: Bacteria; Fusobacteriati; Fusobacteriota
Description: Fusobacteria bacterium partial 16S ribosomal RNA
Rfam family: Bacterial small subunit ribosomal RNA
Source: RNAcentral